This 305-nucleotide unclassified non-coding RNA is filed under the name fungal sp. RNAcentral describes it as "partial internal transcribed spacer region". The stretch from base 1 to 46 matches the Rfam family "Eukaryotic small subunit ribosomal RNA", at positions 1786 to 1831 of the family's 1831-position model. RNAcentral also lists the same sequence under 1 other name. Lineage: Eukaryota; Fungi. The record is from RNAcentral.
AAGUCGUAACAAGGUCUCCGUAGGUGAACCUGCGGAGGGAUCAUUAACAAAAACGAACCUGAAAAACAACUAAACAUUGUUUCUCAUUUUCAACAACACACAACGCGAACUAUGUGACUGACCGAUACAGCUCUGCUCUGUCGGCUUUUUUUCACUAACAACCCAUUUCACCAUUCAUUUUUUUUAACUUGAUUGAUAAAAAAAAGCCAAAACACAAAUAUCAAAAACUGAAAAGUUGGAAUUUAAUUUCUAAUGAAAAAUAAAAAAUUAAAGCACAACUCUUAGCAACGGAUAUCUUGGUUCUC